RNAcentral lists this ribosomal RNA (1282 nucleotides) under Enterococcus avium. RNAcentral's name for it is "bacterial SSU rRNA". It matches the Rfam family "Bacterial small subunit ribosomal RNA", at positions 69 to 1325 of the family's 1533-position model. Lineage: Bacteria; Bacillati; Bacillota; Bacilli; Lactobacillales; Enterococcaceae. The record is from RNAcentral.
UUUUUCUUUCACCGGAGCUUGCUCCACCGAAAGAAAAGGAGUGGCGAACGGGUGAGUAACACGUGGGUAACCUGCCCAUCAGAAGGGGAUAACACUUGGAAACAGGUGCUAAUACCGUAUAACAAUCGAAACCGCAUGGUUUCGGUUUGAAAGGCGCUUUUGCGUCACUGAUGGAUGGACCCGCGGUGCAUUAGCUAGUUGGUGAGGUAACGGCUCACCAAGGCAACGAUGCAUAGCCGACCUGAGAGGGUGAUCGGCCACAUUGGGACUGAGACACGGCCCAAACUCCUACGGGAGGCAGCAGUAGGGAAUCUUCGGCAAUGGACGGAAGUCUGACCGAGCAACGCCGCGUGAGUGAAGAAGGUUUUCGGAUCGUAAAACUCUGUUGUUAGAGAAGAACAAGGAUGAGAGUAGAAUGUUCAUCCCUUGACGGUAUCUAACCAGAAAGCCACGGCUAACUACGUGCCAGCAGCCGCGGUAAUACGUAGGUGGCAAGCGUUGUCCGGAUUUAUUGGGCGUAAAGCGAGCGCAGGCGGUUUCUUAAGUCUGAUGUGAAAGCCCCCGGCUCAACCGGGGAGGGUCAUUGGAAACUGGNGAAACUUGAGUGCAGAAGAGGAGAGUGGAAUUCCAUGUGUAGCGGUGAAAUGCGUAGAUAUAUGGAGGAACACCAGUGGCGAAGGCGGCUCUCUGGUCUGUAACUGACGCUGAGGCUCGAAAGCGUGGGGAGCAAACAGGAUUAGAUACCCUGGUAGUCCACGCCGUAAACGAUGAGUGCUAAGUGUUGGAGGGUUUCCGCCCUUCAGUGCUGCAGCUAACGCAUUAAGCACUCCGCCUGGGGAGUACGACCGCAAGGUUGAAACUCAAAGGAAUUGACGGGGGCCCGCACAAGCGGUGGAGCAUGUGGUUUAAUUCGAAGCAACGCGAAGAACCUUACCAGGUCUUGACAUCCUUUGACCACUCUAGAGAUAGAGCUUCCCCUUCGGGGGCAAAGUGACAGGUGGUGCAUGGUNGUCGUCAGCUNGUGUCGUGAGAUGUUGGGUUAAGUCCCGCAACGAGCGCAACCCUUANUNUUAGUUGCCAUCAUUUAGUUGGGCACUCUAGCGNGACNGCCGGNGACAAACCGGAGGAAGGUGGGGAUGACGUCAAAUCAUCAUGCCCCUUAUGACCUGGGCUACACACNUGNUACAAUGGGAAGUACAACGAGUCGNGAAGUCGCGAGGCUAAGCUAAUCUCUUAAAGCUUNUCUCAGUUCGGAUUGUAGGNUGCAACUCGCNUACAGAAG